Molecule: ribosomal RNA, 253 nt
Filed under: uncultured bacterium
Lineage: Bacteria
Description: partial 16S ribosomal RNA
Rfam family: Bacterial small subunit ribosomal RNA
Source: RNAcentral
UACGUAGGGGGCUAGCGUUGUCCGGAAUCAUUGGGCGUAAAGAGCGCGUAGGCGGUUGGAUAAGUCCGGUGUGAAAGUCACAGGCUCAACCUGUGAAUGCCGCUGGAAACUGUCCGGCUUGAGUCCGGGAGGGGCGAGUGGAAUUCCUGGUGUAGCGGUGAAAUGCGCAGAUAUCAGGAGGAACACCAAUGGCGAAGGCAGCUCGCUGGAACGGUACUGACGCUGAGGCGCGAAAGCGUGGGGAGCGAACAGG